AACGAACGCUGGCGGCAUGCCUAACACAUGCAAGUCGAACGAGAUCUUCGGGUCUAGUGGCGCACGGGUGCGUAACGCGUGGGAAUCUGCCCUUUGGUUCGGAAUAACAGUUGGAAACGACUGCUAAUACCGGAUGAUGACGAAAGUCCAAAGAUUUAUCGCCAAAGGAUGAGCCCGCGUAGGAUUAGCUAGUUGGUGUGGUAAAGGCGCACCAAGGCGACGAUCCUUAGCUGGUCUGAGAGGAUGAUCAGCCACACUGGGACUGAGACACGGCCCAGACUCCUAUGGGAGGCAGCAGUGGGGAAUAUUGGACAAUGGGCGAAAGCCUGAUCCAGCAAUGCCGCGUGAGUGAUGAAGGCCUUAGGGUUGUAAAGCUCUUUUACCCGGGAUGAUAAUGACAGUACCGGGAGAAUAAGCUCCGGCUAACUCCGUGCCAGCAGCCGCUGUAA
RNAcentral lists this ribosomal RNA (449 nucleotides) under uncultured bacterium. RNAcentral's name for it is "partial 16S ribosomal RNA". It matches the Rfam family "Bacterial small subunit ribosomal RNA", at positions 29 to 523 of the family's 1533-position model. The record is from RNAcentral.